RNAcentral lists this ribosomal RNA (374 nucleotides) under uncultured Clostridium sp. Its description in RNAcentral is "bacterial SSU rRNA". It matches the Rfam family "Bacterial small subunit ribosomal RNA", at positions 356 to 749 of the family's 1533-position model. The record is from RNAcentral. Lineage: Bacteria; Bacillati; Bacillota; Clostridia; Eubacteriales; Clostridiaceae.
UGGGAAUAUUGCGCAAUGGGGCAACCUGACGCAGCAACGCCGCGUGAAGGAAGAAGGUCUUCGGAUCGUAAACUUUUGUCUUCAGGAACGAAAAUGACGGUACCUGAGGAGGAAGCCACGGCUAACUACGUGCCAGCAGCCGCGGUAAUACGUAGGUGGCAAGCGUUGUCCGGAUUUACUGGGUGUAAAGGGCGUGUAGGCGGGCUGAUAAGUCAGAUGUGAAAUACCGAGGCUUAACCUCGGGGCUGCAUUUGAAACUGUCAGUCUUGAGUGUCGGAGAGGUAAGCGGAAUUCCUAGUGUAGCGGUGAAAUGCGUAGAUAUUAGGAGGAACACCAGUGGCGAAGGCGGCUUACUGGACGAUAACUGACGCUGA